UACGUAGGGGGCAAGCGUUAUCCGGAUUUACUGGGUGUAAAGGGAGCGUAGACGGCCAUGCAAGCUCGGUGUGAAAGGUGCGGGCACAACCCGCAGACUGCACUGAGAACUGUGUGGCUGGAGUGCCGGAGGGGCAGGCGGAAUUCCUGGUGUAGCGGUGAAAUGCGUAGAUAUCAGGAGGAACACCGGUGGCGAAGGCGGCCUGCUGGACGGCGACUGACGUUGAGGCUCGAGAGCGUGGGGAGCGA
Molecule: ribosomal RNA, 248 nt
Filed under: uncultured Lachnospiraceae bacterium
Lineage: Bacteria; Bacillati; Bacillota; Clostridia; Lachnospirales; Lachnospiraceae
Description: partial 16S ribosomal RNA
Rfam family: Bacterial small subunit ribosomal RNA
Source: RNAcentral